RNAcentral lists this long non-coding RNA (331 nucleotides) under Phoenix dactylifera (date palm). RNAcentral's name for it is "long non-coding RNA (PDAC_LNC003667)". The record is from RNAcentral. Lineage: Eukaryota; Viridiplantae; Streptophyta; Magnoliopsida; Arecales; Arecaceae.
GGCAAUUACAAGUAAAGUAGUGAAAAAUUAAGCUAGAGCAAUUAUACUAUGGCUUUAGGGUGCACUUGAUCUAAAAUUAACUUAUAGUUGUAUGAUUAAUUUUAAUCUAUGUGAAUGGUAAAAAUGGAGUGGAAGCUAAGCAAGUUCUAAACAAUCACUUAUAAAUCAAUAGAAAAUAAAGCUAAAGAUAUUACACAAUCAAGUAUGAGUGUAAGGCAUGAAAUACAAGAGAUAAGGCAUCACAAACACAAAGAUGUAUUAGUGGUUCGGUGCACCCCAGCACCUACAUCCACUCCCCAAGACCUCUUAAAAAUUUCACGAUAAUUCCUCA